This 440-nucleotide ribosomal RNA is filed under the name uncultured bacterium. Its description in RNAcentral is "partial 16S ribosomal RNA". It matches the Rfam family "Bacterial small subunit ribosomal RNA", at positions 338 to 795 of the family's 1533-position model. The record is from RNAcentral.
CCUACGGGUGGCAGCAGUGGGGAAUAUUGCACAAUGGGGGAACCCCUGAUGCAGCGACGCCGCGUGAGUGAAGAAGUAUUUCGGUAUGUAAAGCUCUAUCAGCAGGGGAGAAAAUGACGGUACGUGAUUAAGAAGCCCCGGCUAACUACGUGCCAGCAGCCGCGGUAAUACGUAGGGGGCAAGAGUUAUCCGGAUUUACUGGGUGUAAAGGGAGCGUAGACGGCAGAACAAGUCUGGAGUGAAAUGCCGGGGCUUAACCCCGGAACUGCUGUUGACACUGUGCAUCUAGAGUGCAGGAGAGGUAAGUGGAAUGCCUGGUGUAGCGGUGAAAUGCGUAGAGAUUAGGAGGAACACCAGUGGCGAAGGCAGCUUACUGGAUUGGAACUGACGUUGAGGCUCGAAAGCGUGGGGAGCAAACAGGAUUAGAUACCCCGGUAGUC